CUCGUAGGCGGUUAUCCACGUCGGAUGUGAAAGCUCAGGGCUCAACCCUGGGACGCCAUUCGAUACGGGAUGGCUAGAGGUAGGUAGGGGAAAGUGGAAUUCCUGGUGUAGCGGUGAAAUGCGCAGAUAUCAGGAGGAACACCGGUGGCGAAGGCGGCUUUCUGGGCCUUACCUGACGCUGAGGAGCGAAAGCUGGGGGAAGGCAAACA
This 209-nucleotide ribosomal RNA is filed under the name uncultured bacterium. Its description in RNAcentral is "partial 16S ribosomal RNA". It matches the Rfam family "Bacterial small subunit ribosomal RNA", at positions 568 to 774 of the family's 1533-position model. The record is from RNAcentral.